RNAcentral lists this ribosomal RNA (304 nucleotides) under Asindulum montanum. RNAcentral describes it as "partial 16S ribosomal RNA". Lineage: Eukaryota; Metazoa; Arthropoda; Insecta; Diptera; Keroplatidae. The record is from RNAcentral.
UUUUUUAAUUGAAAGCUUGUAUGAAUGGUUGAAUGAAAUAUUAACUGUUUCAUAAAAAUUAAAUUAAAAUUUUAUUUUUUAGUUAAAAAGCUAAAAUAAAAUUAAAGGACGAGAAGACCCUAUAAAGUUUUAUAAUAUAAUAUUAAUAAUUUUUUUAUAAUAUUUUAAAUUUUUUUUAUUAUAUUAUUUUGUUGGGGUGAUAAUAAAAUUUAAAAAACUUUUAUUGUUAUUUUACAUUGAUUUAUGAAUUUAUGAUCCAAUUAUAUUGAUUAUAAAAUUAAAUUACUUUAGGGAUAACAGCGUA